Molecule: long non-coding RNA, 1610 nt
Filed under: Heterocephalus glaber (naked mole-rat)
Lineage: Eukaryota; Metazoa; Chordata; Mammalia; Rodentia; Bathyergidae
Description: lncRNA (ENSHGLG00100047029.1)
Source: RNAcentral
UGGAAAUCAGUAUGGAGUUUCCUUAAAAAACUACAAAUAGAGCUCCCAUUUGAUCCAGUUACCUCAUUCCAUGGUAUAAACCCAAAGCAAUUAAAGCCAGAACACUAUAAAUAUAUCUGCAUACCCAUUUUAUUCAACAGAGCCAAGAUAUGGAACCAGCCUAGAUUCCCAUCAACAGAUGAAUGUAUAAAGAUAAUAUGGUAUAUAUAUACAAUACAGCAUUAUUUAACCAUACGGAAGAAUGAAAUUCUGUCAUUUACAGAAAAACACAUGGAUCAUCUGGUGGUGACCAUCAUGUUGAGCAACAUAAUCCAGAUUCAUAAAGAAAUAUAUUGAACUUGGUUCUUCUGUUUCCAUGGUGAGGGGUGAAGGAGUAUGAGAUGAACUGUUAUCCCUGCUCAUCCUAACUUUCCUGCCAUUUUUGCGUGAGGACUAGAUCCAGGUAUUGCAAUAGAUGCUUUGUAACCAGAUGAUUUGUCACUCUGUUUGAUUCUGGAUGACUAUCCAUACAGGGCAGAGGAAUUUCUCAUUUAAUAGAUAACAAACCCAAGGCCCAAUAAAGCAAGUGAGUGGCCCAAAGUCACACCGCUAGGAAGUGGCACUGGAGAGGCUCAGCCUGUGGUUUUGUGCUCAUGGCAUCUGGUAGCCUUGUCUUCAUAACUAGAUGACUUAGAUAACAGAAAUUCAUUGCUCAAUCAAUUCUGGAACUGGAAGUCUAAAAUCUGUGUUGGUAGGCUUGACUCCUUCUGGGGCAGUGAAGGAAGGUGUGUGUAGGACCCUCUCCUGGGUCGUCCUUGUGCUAGUUUGCUGACAAUCAUCACUGCUCAUGGCCUGCAGAUGCAUCACCCUGGUCUCUGCUCCCAUGUUCACACAGCAGGCUCCCUUCGUGUCUGUCUGCCUCUGUGUGCCAGCGUCCUAUUUUUACAUGGACACAGUCAUAUCAGAUUAAUGCUCACUCUAAUAACUCACCUUAACCCGAUCACUGUCGAAGAGCCUCUUUCCAAAUAAGCUCCAAUUCACAGACCCAGGGAAUAAGGACUUAAACAUUUUUAGGGAGAUGUAUUUCAACUUAUCUCACUGUCAGAGCUCCAGUCCUUACCUUAAUGUCAAGAGAAAGACCAUGGUUUGCAGAUGUGUAUUGGCUUGCCCCAUUAAUCCUAGACUUCGAGAUUAAUACCAGUACCCAAGCCCUGGGCAGAGGGAUUUAAAAAAAACAACUUGUGUUUCCUCUUUCUGCCUUUUCACUCUGUUUCUUAUCACUCCAUCCAGACAGCUGUCAGCUUCCUCAGAUCCUGGAAGAAGGAAGUUGUCAAAUCCCCCUGAUCUGUUGCUGCCCUGCCUCUGCUUUGUGACCCACAUCCUGCCUGGGCUCCGCCGGCUGCAGAGAUCUCCAGCUCCCACUGGCCUAGUCCUGGAGCAGGGUGUGGGCUUCAGGGCAUUAAUGGGUUUUCCUAGGGAAAAAGCAGCAUCUGGGAACAGCCCAGAAGUCACCUAACCCUGCUGCUGCCACUUGACUUGCUUCUCUCUCACUAUUCUGGAGGAAGGCUUAUCAACAGAAAUAAACCCUACCAUGUUUUCUAUAAAGGCUGCCAGCCAGGCCCUCUUCGAAG